RNAcentral lists this ribosomal RNA (301 nucleotides) under uncultured bacterium. RNAcentral describes it as "partial 16S ribosomal RNA". It matches the Rfam family "Bacterial small subunit ribosomal RNA", at positions 509 to 807 of the family's 1533-position model. The record is from RNAcentral.
CAGCAGCCGCGGGAAUACGUAGGGUGCGAGCGUUAAUCGGAAUUACUGGGCGUAAAGCGUGCGCAGGCGGUUUUGUAAGACAGGCGUGAAAUCCCCGGGCUCAACCUGGGAAUGGCGCUUGUGACUGCAAAGCUAGAGUGCGGCAGAGGGGGAUGGAAUUCCGCGUGUAGCAGUGAAAUGCGUGGAUAUGCGGAGGAACACCGAUAGCGAAGGCAGCCCCCUGGGCCAAUACUGACACUCAUGCACGAAAGCGUGGGGAGCAAACAGGAUUAGAUACCCGAGUAGUCCCUGUCUCUUAUAC